Long non-coding RNA from Diceros bicornis minor, 733 nucleotides. RefSeq lists it as uncharacterized. The record is from RefSeq and is a predicted model, not a curated record. Lineage: Eukaryota; Metazoa; Chordata; Mammalia; Perissodactyla; Rhinocerotidae. The transcript is spliced from 3 exons.
UGCAGAGCCAUGCCUCCUCUAUCUGGCCAGCACACCGCAGGAGGCCAUAUUCCUCUGCCUCAGUCGCCCCAGGGCCAGGUACCAGGCAUCUAGGGACCACCCUUACAGCUUAGAGCCCACAGGAAUUAUUCAAACUAGCGAAUCCUAAACUGUUUCCCCUGCCCUGCCUUGCCCUUCCUGGGGAAACCCCAAUACGGGCUCUGGCCUUGGUUUUAUCUUUGCUCCCGCUGUCUGUCUCCUGACUACCCUGAGGCUUCUCCAUGUGGACCUGCAUGGCGUGCUGUGCUUCCUGCUUCUAGGACCUGUGAGAAAGGUUGACACAAAAUAACCAAUGCACAUUCUUCAGUCAUGCGCCUCAUAACGACGUUUCGGUCAACGACAGACAGCCUAAUCAAAGGUGAUCCUAUAAGAUGAGUACCAUAUAGCCUAGGUGUGUAGUAGGCUGUACCAUCUAUGUUUGUUUUCUCUCUAGGAACAGGCUGACCACAGGCGGGAAACACACCUACAAGGUAUCCAUCACAGCUGACAGAAGAAUGGAACAAUGUGAUUCCUGGAGCCCGUCACACCUGGAGACCAUCAUCCCUGGACCCCCUCCUUAUGGCCCAUUUUCCCUAUAUAACUGCCUCAAGAUUCUGUAAUCUUUGAGACAUUAGUCACCUGUCUUCUGAUUUGCUGGCUAAUCUAAUUAAACUUUGUUUCUCCAUCUCUAACUCGUUGUGAUUAAUUGGCUCAG